RNAcentral lists this ribosomal RNA (1430 nucleotides) under uncultured organism. RNAcentral describes it as "partial small subunit ribosomal RNA". It matches the Rfam family "Bacterial small subunit ribosomal RNA". The record is from RNAcentral.
CUGGACGAACGCUGGCGGCGUGCUUAACACAUGCAAGUCGAACGGAAAGGCCCUGCUUUUGUGGGGUGCUCGAGUGGCGAACGGGUGAGUAACACGUGAGUAACCUGCCCUUGACUUUGGGAUAACUUCAGGAAACUGGGGCUAAUACCGGAUAGGAGCUCCUGCUGCAUGGUGGGGGUUGGAAAGUUUCGGCGGUUGGGGAUGGACUCGCGGCUUAUCAGCUUGUUGGUGGGGUAGUGGCUUACCAAGGCUUUGACGGGUAGCCGGCCUGAGAGGGUGACCGGCCACAUUGGGACUGAGAUACGGCCCAGACUCCUACGGGAGGCAGCAGUGGGGAAUAUUGCACAAUGGGCGGAAGCCUGAUGCAGCAACGCCGCGUGCGGGAUGACGGCCUUCGGGUUGUAAACCGCUUUCGCCUGUGACGAAGCGUGAGUGACGGUAAUGGGUAAAGAAGCACCGGCUAACUACGUGCCAGCAGCCGCGGUGAUACGUAGGGUGCGAGCGUUGUCCGGAUUUAUUGGGCGUAAAGGGCUCGUAGGUGGUUGAUCGCGUCGGAAGUGUAAUCUUGGGGCUUAACCCUGAGCGUGCUUUCGAUACGGGUUGACUUGAGGAAGGUAGGGGAGAAUGGAAUUCCUGGUGGAGCGGUGGAAUGCGCAGAUAUCAGGAGGAACACCAGUGGCGAAGGCGGUUCUCUGGGCCUUUCCUGACGCUGAGGAGCGAAAGCGUGGGGAGCGAACAGGCUUAGAUACCCUGGUAGUCCACGCUGUAAACGGUGGGUACUAGGUGUGGGGUCCAUUCCACGGGUUCCGUGCCGUAGCUAACGCUUUAAGUACCCCGCCUGGGGAGUACGGCCGCAAGGCUAAAACUCAAAGGAAUUGACGGGGCCCCGCACAAGCGGCGGAGCAUGCGGAUUAAUUCGAUGCAACGCGUAGAACCUUACCUGGGUUUGACAUGGAUCGGGAGUGCUCAGAGAUGGGUGUGCCUCUUUUGGGGUCGGUUCACAGGUGGUGCAUGGCUGUCGUCAGCUCGUGUCGUGAGAUGUUGGGUUAAGUCCCGCAACGAGCGCAACCCUUGUUCACUGUUGCCAGCACGUUAUGGUGGGGACUCAGUGGAGACCGCCGGGGUCAACUCGGAGGAAGGUGGGGAUGACGUCAAGUCAUCAUGCCCCUUAUGUCCAGGGCUUCACGCAUGCUACAAUGGCUGGUACAGAGAGUGGCGAGCCUGUGAGGGUGAGCGAAUCUCGGAAAGCCGGUCUCAGUUCGGAUUGGGGUCUGCAACUCGACCUCAUGAAGUCGGAGUCGCUAGUAAUCGCAGAUCAGCAACGCUGCGGUGAAUACGUUCCCGGGGCUUGUACACACCGCCCGUCAAGUCAUGAAAGUUGGUAACACCCGAAGCCGAUGGCCUAACCGUUGUGGGGGAGCCGUCGAAGG